This 253-nucleotide ribosomal RNA is filed under the name uncultured bacterium. RNAcentral's name for it is "partial 16S ribosomal RNA". It matches the Rfam family "Bacterial small subunit ribosomal RNA", at positions 524 to 776 of the family's 1533-position model. The record is from RNAcentral.
UACGUAGGAGGCGAGCGUUGUCCGGAGUUACUGGGCGUAAAGCGUGCGCAGGCGGCUUCUCAAGUCAGGGGUGAAAGCCCAGAGCUCAACUCUGGAAUUGCCUUUGAGACUGAGUGGCUUGAGUACGAGAGAGGUGAGUGGAAUUCCCAGUGUAGAGGUGAAAUUCGUAGAUAUUGGGAAGAACACCGGUGGCGAAGGCGGCUCACUGGCUCGUAACUGACGCUCAUGCACGACAGCGUGGGGAUCAAACAGG